This 484-nucleotide ribosomal RNA is filed under the name uncultured bacterium. RNAcentral's name for it is "partial 16S ribosomal RNA". It matches the Rfam family "Bacterial small subunit ribosomal RNA", at positions 30 to 507 of the family's 1533-position model. The record is from RNAcentral.
AUUGAACGCUGGCGGCAGGCCUAACACAUGCGAGUCGAGCGGAUGAAGGGAGCUUGCUCCUGGAUUCAGCGGCGGACGGGUGAGUAAUGCCUAGGAAUCUGCCUGGUAGUGGGGGAUAACGUCCGGAAACGGGCGCUAAUACCGCAUACGUCCUGAGGGAGAAAGUGGGGGAUCUUCGGACCUCACGCUAUCAGAUGAGCCUAGGUCGGAUUAGCUAGUUGGUGGGGUAAAGGCCUACCAAGGCGACGAUCCGUAACUGGUCUGAGAGGAUGAUCAGUCACACUGGAACUGAGACACGGUCCAGACUCCUACGGGAGGCAGCAGUGGGGAAUAUUGGACAAUGGGCGAAAGCCUGAUCCGGCCAUGCCGCGUGUGUGAAGAAGGUCUUCGGAUUGUAAAGCACUUUAAGUUGGGAGGAAGGGCAGUAAGUUAAUACCUUGCUGUUUUGACGUUACCAACAGAAUAAGCACCGGCUAACUUCGUG